GUAAGUUAAGUGGGAAAGGAUGUGGGAUUUCUAAGACAACUAGGAUGUUGGCUUAGAAGCAGCCACUCAUUUAAAGAGUGCGUAAUAGCUCACUAGUCGAGAGAUCCUGCGCCGAAGAUGUAACGGGGCUCAAACUUACCACCGAAGCUAUGGAUGUGUACUUUGUACACGUGGUAGAGGAGCUUUCUGUACAGGUUGAAGUCAUACCGUAAGGAGUGGUGGACAGUACAGAAGUGAGAAUGCUGGCAUAAGUAGCGAAAAACAAGUGAGAAUCUUGUUGACCGAAUAUCUAAGGUUUCCUGGGGAAGGCUCGUCCUCCCAGGGUUAGUCGGGACCUAAGCCGAGGCCGAAAGGCGUAGGUGAUGGACAACUGGUUGAUAUUCCAGUACCACCAUAAUGCGUUUGACAAAUGGGAUGACGCAGGAGGAUAGGAUGUGCGCACUAUUGGAUGUGCGUCUAAGCACUUAGGGUGUUAAGUAGGCAAAUCCGCUUAACAUUAAGCCUGAGGUGUGAUGGGGAGCCUAUUUUGGCGAAGUAUCUGAUUCCACGCUGCCAAGAAAAGUCUCUAUGGAGCAAAAUGGUGCCCGUACCGCAAACCGACACAGGUAGAUGAGGAGAGAAUCCUAAGGUCGUCGGAAGAAUUAUUGCUAAGGAACUCGGCAAAUUGACCCCGUAACUUAGGGAGAAGGGGUGCCUACGAGAGUAGGCCGCAGUGAAUAGGCUCAAGCAACUGUUUAUCAAAAACACAGGUCUCUGCUAAAGCGCAAGCUGAUGUAUAGGGGCUGACGCCUGCCCGGUGCUGGAAGGUUAAGGGGAAUAGUUAGCGCAAGCGAAGCUAUGAACUUAAGCCCCAGUAAACGGCGGCCGUAACUAUAACGGUCCUAAGGUAGCG
This 892-nucleotide ribosomal RNA is filed under the name Clostridium botulinum C/D str. BKT2873. RNAcentral's name for it is "bacterial LSU rRNA". It matches the Rfam family "Bacterial large subunit ribosomal RNA", at positions 1054 to 1961 of the family's 2925-position model. The record is from RNAcentral. Lineage: Bacteria; Bacillati; Bacillota; Clostridia; Eubacteriales; Clostridiaceae.